UGCGCAGGUGGGAAUGUAAGUCAGUGGUGAAAUACUGCCGCUUAACGGUAGAAUUGCCAUUGAUACUGCACUUCUUGAGUAUGGUUGAGGUAGGCGGAAUGUGUCGUGUAGCGGUGAAAUGCAUAGAUAUGACACAGAACGCCGAUUGCGAAGGCAGCUUACUAAGCCAUUACUGACACUGAGGCACGAAAGCGUGGGGAGCGAACAGGAUUAGAUACCCUGGUAGUCC
Molecule: ribosomal RNA, 229 nt
Filed under: uncultured bacterium
Lineage: Bacteria
Description: partial 16S ribosomal RNA
Rfam family: Bacterial small subunit ribosomal RNA
Source: RNAcentral